This 253-nucleotide ribosomal RNA is filed under the name uncultured bacterium. Its description in RNAcentral is "partial 16S ribosomal RNA". It matches the Rfam family "Bacterial small subunit ribosomal RNA", at positions 524 to 776 of the family's 1533-position model. The record is from RNAcentral.
UACGUAGGGUGCAAGCGUUAAUCGGAAUUACUGGGCGUAAAGGGUGCGCAGGUGGUUUUGCAAGACCGACGUGAAAGCCCCGGGCUCAACCUGGGAACUGCGUAGGUGACUGCAAGACUAGAGUGUGGCAGAGGGGGGUGGAAUUCCGCGUGUAGCAGUGAAAUGCGUAGAGAUGCGGAGGAACACCGAUGGCGAAGGCAGCCCCCUGGGCUAACACUGACACUCAUGCACGAAAGCGUGGGGAGCAAACAGG